AUUGAACGGGGGCGGCAGGGCGUACACAUGCAAGUCGAACGGUAACAGGUCUUCGGAUGCUGACGAGUGGCGAACGGGUGAGUAAUACAUCGGAACGUGCCCAGACGUGGGGGAUAACGAGGCGAAAGCUUUGCUAAUACCGCAUACGAUCUAAGGAUGAAAGCAGGGGACCGCAAGGCCUUGUGCGUUUGUAGCGGCCGAUGGCAGAUUAGGUAGUUGGUGGGAUAAAAGCUUACCAAGCCGACGAUCUGUAGCUGGUCUGAGAGGACGACCAGCCACACUGGGACUGAGACACGGCCCAGACUCCUACGGGAGGCAGCAGUGGGGAAUUUUGGACAAUGGGCGAAAGCCUGAUCCAGCAAUGCCGCGUGCAGGAUGAAGGCCUUCGGGUUGUAAACUGCUUUUGUACGGAACGAAAAGGCUCUGGCUAAUACCUGGGGCACAUGACGGUACCGUAAGAAUAAGCACCGGCUAACUACGUG
RNAcentral lists this ribosomal RNA (482 nucleotides) under uncultured bacterium. RNAcentral describes it as "partial 16S ribosomal RNA". It matches the Rfam family "Bacterial small subunit ribosomal RNA", at positions 30 to 507 of the family's 1533-position model. The record is from RNAcentral.